AGACGUCUACAUUAGAUACCCGUGUAGUCCCAGCCGUAAACUAUGCGCGUUAGGUGUAUCGGUGACCACGAGUCACCGAGGUGCCGAAGGGAAACCGUGAAACGUGCCGCCUGGGAAGUACGGUCGCAAGGCUGAAACUUAAAGGAAUUGGCGGGGAGCACCACAACGGGUGGAGCCUGCGGUUUAAUUGGACUCAACGCCGGGAAGCUCACCGGAUAGGACAGCAGAAUGAUUGCCGGGCUGAAGACCCUGCAUGACUAGCUG
This 264-nucleotide ribosomal RNA is filed under the name uncultured archaeon. RNAcentral's name for it is "partial 16S ribosomal RNA". It matches the Rfam family "Archaeal small subunit ribosomal RNA", at positions 717 to 982 of the family's 1478-position model. The record is from RNAcentral.